UACGGAGGGUGCGAGCGUUGUCCGGAAUCACUGGGCGUAAAGGGCGCGUAGGUGGCGUCGCAAGUCAACGGUGAAAGCUCGACGCUCAACGUCGAGUCGGCCGUCGAGACUGCGAGGCUUGAGCACUGUAGAGGCAGAUGGAAUUCCGGGUGUAGCGGUGGAAUGCGUAGAGAUCCGGAAGAACACCGGUGGCGAAGGCGGUCUGCUGGGCAGUAACUGACGCUGAGGAGCGAAAGCGUGGGGAGCGAACAGG
This 253-nucleotide ribosomal RNA is filed under the name uncultured bacterium. RNAcentral describes it as "partial 16S ribosomal RNA". It matches the Rfam family "Bacterial small subunit ribosomal RNA", at positions 524 to 776 of the family's 1533-position model. The record is from RNAcentral.